CCCUUAGAUGUUCUGGGCGGCCCGCGCACUACAUUGGCACUCUCGAUAAGUUCCUAGAUCUAAAACUUUGGGGUAUUCUAUUAAGUGGUGUCGUGACUGGGAUUAACCCUUGCAAUUAUUGGUUACGAACGAGGAAUUCCUUGUAAUCGCGGUUUAUCAGCCCGCGUUGAAUGCGUCCCUGCCCUUUGUACACACCGCCCGUCGCUCCUACCGAUGAAUCGUCCGGUGAAGUUCAUGGAGUGGUGGUUGUUCCAGCUGCUGUCGAAGUGAAAUGGACCUCACGAUUUAGAGGAAGGAGAAGUCGUAACA
Molecule: ribosomal RNA, 309 nt
Filed under: uncultured eukaryote
Lineage: Eukaryota
Description: partial 18S ribosomal RNA
Rfam family: Eukaryotic small subunit ribosomal RNA
Source: RNAcentral